AUGGGUGAAGGAUCCGGAGCAGGCGGUGGCUUGGGAUACGGUGAGAGUAGUGGAAAUGGCAGAAACAAGUAUAACUCUGCCAAGGGAGCUGGUGGAGGAGCGGGAAACGGUGCUGGUGGUGGUUCUCAAGGCGGAGCCGGAUCCGGUUCCGGGGGUGGCUAUGGCACCGGUGCUGGUGCGAGUGGCUCGGCAUCAGCCCCUAGUGGCAACGGGUAUGCCAACGCUGUUGGUCAGGGUGGGGGCGGUGGUGGUUCAGAUGGGUCAAGCGGGUUUGGAGCCGGAAGUGGUGUUGGCAAAGGAUAUGGUGUGAGUGGCAUAGCAACCGCACCGGCUCCUUCUGCUGGUGGUGUCCGCUACUCUGAUGCUGGCGGUGGUGGUAACGGUGGUGGUGGCGGUGGAAAUGGAGGUGGUAAUGGCGCUGGAGGUGGACAUGCUUCCAGCGACGACAUUUCUGGAGGCAAUGCUAGUGGAGGGGGUAGCGGCAAUGGUGGUGGCCAAACUGGAGGUGUCGCUCAAGGUCCAAGCAUGGGAGUUGGUUCUGGCUUGGCUCUGGAGGCGGACAGACUAGUAGCACUGGCUCCUAUGGUCAAGGCUAUGCCGUCGGAACUGGUGACGGAGCGGGUGGUGGCGGUGGCAGCAGCAACAAUGAUGGGUCUGCCGGUGGAUCUGGUGGCGGAUCCGGAUCCAGCAGCAGUGGAUACCCCUAAAUUUUACUUCUAA
Molecule: ribosomal RNA, 720 nt
Filed under: Triticum aestivum (bread wheat)
Lineage: Eukaryota; Viridiplantae; Streptophyta; Magnoliopsida; Poales; Poaceae
Description: partial small subunit ribosomal RNA
Source: RNAcentral